RNAcentral lists this unclassified non-coding RNA (263 nucleotides) under plant metagenome. Its description in RNAcentral is "partial contains small subunit ribosomal RNA, internal transcribed spacer 1, and 5.8S ribosomal RNA". The record is from RNAcentral.
UUUCCGUAGGUGAACCUGCGGAAGGAUCAUUAUUGUAUAACCGAGGUGCGAGGGCUGUCGCUGACCCGAAAGGUCGUGCACACCCGAGUGCCCUCACACACAUCCAUCUCACCCCUAUGUGCACCGACGCGUGGGUCCCCCUUUGGCUUGUUCGGAGGGGGGCUUACGUUUUCACACAAACUUUGUAUGCAGUGUAGAAUGUAUUUUUUGUUUUUGCGAUCACGCAAUCAAUACAACUUUCAACAACGGAUCUCUUGGCUCUC